Molecule: non-coding RNA, 260 nt
Organism: Camelina sativa (false flax)
Lineage: Eukaryota; Viridiplantae; Streptophyta; Magnoliopsida; Brassicales; Brassicaceae
Source: RefSeq, a predicted model, not a curated record
AUUUGGUGAAGAAGAAACAUGAUAAUACUGCAGAGUCGUUUAUGACUGAAGGGAAGGUUUCACCUGAUCCAGUUGCAAUUGAUGCACCUGGAGGGCUUCUCCUUGAGUGGUGGUCUGUGUUGUGGGAUAUCUUCAUUGCAAGGACAAAUGAGAAACAUUCAGAGCCUGCUGCAGCUUAUAUUGAGGCACAACAAGGUAAAGCGAAGGAGCAGCAAAUGCAAAUUCAGCGAUGUUUGGACAAGCUCAAGCUCAUAUGCAAC